UACGUAGGGUGCGAGCGUUAAUCGGAAUUACUGGGCGUAAAGCGUGCGCAGGCGGUUUUGUAAGACAGGUGUGAAAUCCCCGGGCUUAACCUGGGAACUGCAUUUGUGCCUGCAAGGCUAGAGUAUGGCAGAGGGGGGUGGAAUUCCACGUGUAGCAGUGAAAUGCGUAGAUAUGUGGAGGAAUAACGAUGGCGAAGGCAGCACCCUGGGAUAACACUGACGCUCAUGUACGAAAGCGUGGGUAGCAAACAGG
This 253-nucleotide ribosomal RNA is filed under the name uncultured bacterium. Its description in RNAcentral is "partial 16S ribosomal RNA". It matches the Rfam family "Bacterial small subunit ribosomal RNA", at positions 524 to 776 of the family's 1533-position model. The record is from RNAcentral.